RNAcentral lists this long non-coding RNA (1038 nucleotides) under Canis lupus dingo (dingo). RNAcentral's name for it is "lncRNA (ENSCAFG00020012921.1)". Lineage: Eukaryota; Metazoa; Chordata; Mammalia; Carnivora; Canidae. The record is from RNAcentral.
AUGGCGAUCCGAGGCUCAGCCCCGCCGGGAUCCCAGGGGUGGGACACACUUGUCACCCCCCACCCCCGGGGAGGAGCGGCGGGGGAACUGGGCCCCGGGUCCGCCUCGCACCGUCGUUGGUUCCAGGCCACCUCUGGGAGCAGGGGCCACGGCGCGCCCCGAGGCCAAGGCACUGGGCAGGGAGCGGAGUCGCCGUCGGGGCCUGGGGAGGCCCCUCUUCCCGAGAGGCCCGCCGGAGACCAGCUCUGUGGCCGGGAUGCGGGCCAGGUCCCCGCAGCGGAAGAGCCCUGGCGAGCCCGCCCCACCUGCUGGCUCAGCGUCCCGGCGACCGGGGGGCUCCACACGACCUGCGCUCGUGCGCCUCGGUCCUGGAGGCCGGAGGCCACGGGGCUGCCGUGGAGGCGCUGGGCACCGUGUCGCUGUGCCCCAUGGCUGGAGGGGCUGGCGUGCCCCGCGGGCUCCCAUCAGGCGCCCAUUGUGUCCACGAGGCUGGAGGCCUCUCAGUCCCAGCUCUCACGCCGCCCCCGGGCAUCAGGAUUUCAACCCGAGGCUGGGGGACCGAACUCCCAGCCCCUGGUUGGCCUGGAGCUGCAGCUGGCGCAGCCCGAGGACACGGGGCCCCUGCUGUGCCCUCAGUCGUCUGCCCAGCCCGCCGCCUCCCCACGCGCCGCUGCCGCCUCUCCGUGGGCCACGGCACACAGGAGGGGACAGACUGUAAGCACCGAGUUUGGUUCCAUGGAAGAAACGGGAAGAGGCAGCCGCGGGGCCCUGGCUGCACGAGAGCACCGUGGGGCGGUCGUGACGACGAGUAAGACACAUCUGCCCCCUCCCUGGGGAGCUUGCCACGAAGAAGGUGAGACAGACAAACAGAAACUCCUCAAGGUGCCCAGGAGGUCGGAGGCACCCAAGUGCCCUGGAGGUGGAGGUGGUGUUGGGCGGGAGGAGAACCGGUGCUUCCUAGAGAUCGUGGCGGAGGGCGAGGCUUUCGGGAUGGACGGGGGUGGACGGAGGUCAGGGGGAGCUUUACAGAGACCCUGA